This 203-nucleotide unclassified non-coding RNA is filed under the name Hevea brasiliensis (rubber tree). Lineage: Eukaryota; Viridiplantae; Streptophyta; Magnoliopsida; Malpighiales; Euphorbiaceae. The record is from RNAcentral.
UUUGGGGAGAUGAGUGAAAGAAGAUGAGAGUUCCAUGAGCGUAGAGAUUUUGAAGUGUUAACCAAGAGUUUUUAACAUUUAUAAGGAGGCUAUUUGAGAGAAAUGGGAGGCCUAGGGCUUCAGGUUUUGGAAGUGAAUUUGGAGGGCAUUAAUGGAGGGUUUGGCACUGACUGAGUGCUACUGAGUUGCAGGGUUUUAGGGAG